GCUAGCACAAAUGCUUGAGACACGACAAGCUUUUAUACCAGAGCAAAUAAAUGAAGCAUGCUAUGUUGAUAUGAGGCUAACAAAGAUGUUUUUGAGAGUCUGAGAAAAAAACCAAAAGUAGAAUACGACGGGCAACGGUUCUCUUACAAGCAUGUUCUCAUUUUCGUCUACAUUAUUUUAAUGGCAAGAUGGUUCUACCUACGUGGUUUUGUUACCACUUCUGGAAGGAGAUUUCAGGGCUGCUCUUCAGGGGAAUGAAAUUGAGAUUUGUGUUGAAAGUGGAUGUCCUGAUGAUGUGGAGCAAUUUGAUGGGACUCAUUUGGUGUUUAUUGGGGCUGGAUCAGAUCCUUAUGAAGUUAUAACAAAUGUUUUCUAGAGAUGCGUUGUGGAACACCGAUGGGCAAGGAGAAUGCAUUUGCAGCAUUGCUCGAGUUAUGCCGGAGUGGAGGUUCAGCUGCAACUGAAAGGGUGGUUAAGGCACCACCUAUUGCCGGAUUACUUCAAACCCAACUAUUUACCGGGACAAAGCGAGCUAGACGUAAAGCCGCUUCACUUGCUAGAGUGUUUCAGAGAUGUGAAAAUGCAUCUCUACAUUAUGGUGGAUUAGGUGUAGGCUAUGCAUUGGCUAGCAAUUCAGCUCAAACUAGGGAUUCAAGCUUUGCUGCAGAGGGAUGUUUCAGUACCAAUGUCCAUCUCUGUACCUGUAAUAUAGUGAUAUAAUACUUUUCCUGUAUUUGUAAUUGUUACGUUCACAAUUUUUAUUGGAAGUCUUUACAUAUUCUUUCAUUGAAACUUUAAAAAGUCAUAAAAAAAUGUCACAAAUACCAUAUGUAUUCUCUUCCAAGAGAUACAUGAAUGUUGUUGACAAGUUAGGUUCAUCACUUGUGUAACGUUGAGUUAUAUCAAAGACAGAAAAGAGAAUGCUCUACAAAAGAGUUUUAGACCAUUUCUUGGUCAUAUUUGGUUUCA
Medicago truncatula (barrel medic) is the source of this 969-nucleotide long non-coding RNA. RefSeq lists it as uncharacterized. The record is from RefSeq and is a predicted model, not a curated record. NCBI's taxonomy places the organism in Eukaryota, Viridiplantae, Streptophyta, Magnoliopsida, Fabales, Fabaceae. The transcript is spliced from 5 exons.